RNAcentral lists this long non-coding RNA (333 nucleotides) under Gossypium barbadense (sea-island cotton). RNAcentral describes it as "long non-coding RNA (GBAR_LNC016096)". The record is from RNAcentral. Lineage: Eukaryota; Viridiplantae; Streptophyta; Magnoliopsida; Malvales; Malvaceae.
GGCCACGAGUCAGGCUCAGGCUCAAGCCGGCCCAGUUUCACCACCAAAGAAACCUAUGAACCCUAUGUCACCCCUGUUAGAUUCCACCCUGAUGAACCCUAUAACAGCAUCCCCGAAUCCUCCAACAAUAAAGACACUUACUACUACAACAAGAAUGCCUACAAGUCCACUAAGCAGCAAAACUUGGGCGAGGCCAUUUUCACCGAGAAAGGAUGGAGCACCAAGGAAAACCAGAACAACAACUACUACAACGGCAACAUUAAUGGCGAGAAGCAAGGCAUGAGCGAUACUAGGUACUUGGAGAAUGGAAAGUACUACUAUGACGUCAAGAGU